CAUAAAAAGAAUAGAUAUAACUUUGUAUAUAUCACUAUGUUGCAGAUAAACCUCCAAAUAAACAGGCAUGCAAUUAUUGUUUCACCUUUUCUUUGGGGAUUAAUGAAAGCCUAGUUUACAGUUAUUGCAGAUCUAUUAUCUGCAGCAACUGCAAGCCCUCUCCUUCCUGUCCAGCGCUUACAUACAUUAUCCGAUCCAAGCUUGUCAUUAGAGUCCAAAGUAAAAAUAAUUACUUAGAUGUUACUGAGUGGUGAAAACCCUAAUUGCAGGAAAGCGGCCUGCGAUUACGAGGCCAAGCUAAUUCCCUCUUGUCAAGCAGAUUGAUGGAGGAGACCCUCUGGACUGUCAGCGUGAUAGUGUUCUCUUGAAAUCAUCACUUUGAUAAUAUGACACAAUGAGGACCUCCUAAUAAUCACUGAAGAACUUCACUGAAGUGCUUUACGGGUUGUGAAGUGUCUCUUUAACCCCUUAAGGACCAAACGUCUGGAAUAAAAGGGAAUCAUGACAUGUCACACAUGUCAUGUGUCCUUAAAGGGUUAAAUACAGAAUUUCAGUUGUUAAUAAAUGUAUUUCACAAACUCCAAAAUGUUUUUACUUUCAUGAAAAGAAGUUAAACUUGAAUUAAUAUACACGCGAAUGUCAUCUCCACUCUCCACUUUACAGUCCAGUGCUGUGUUAGAAGGUGUAUUUUAAGAAUAUAAAUAGCUACACCUUGAGAAUGCAGUUUGUUAUGGAGUCUUUGUACUACAUAGUUAUAUCUGUGAAUAAUGAAAUUUACGCUGAAAAUAAUCAUCGGAUUCAGCUAUUUUAGUCUUAAUCUUGAUUGGUUGAAAAAUAACCGCAAGUCACUGUUUAGUUAAUAGAAACCUGCACUAGAUACAGUUAGAAAACAAUAAGCAUUGUAGAACUUUAUUUUUAAGACAUAAGAAACUGGAUUUUGGCCGUAUUUAUUUAAUUGUAUGCUCUGAAUUGUCAUGUUUUGGGAUACCUGCUUUACUUAUGUAAACAAAUAUAAAAUGGAUAAUAAUGUGUUUGUCUUACUUGUAAGUGAACAGUAGGUGGCGCAUAGAUUUAUUUGAUUUGUGUAUAAAGAUAACUGUAACUUUCUUAUACCUGCCUGUUCCUGGAGCGCCGGGCAGCGUCUCUUAGAAGAUCUUGCUGAUCACCCUGACAUGUCGAACCAUCUAAAGCCUGAAUUGCAGCAUUGUAGCAAUUCCUAUCACAUUUAGCCAGCCCAGAAGUUGAUCGUAAUGGCUGGCUGGGCAUUAUGGGAGAUGGGCCAGAGCCAGUAUUAGGCAACAGCCAUUGUUGUAUUCUGUUUGUUUACCUGUGUGGUGCUAGAAGGGAUAAACUGAUGAUUUUAAACAAAGAUUGUUAUUUUUCUUUUUUUAUAAAACCAUUUUUUUUUUUUACAGUUUAAUGAAUUAACAAUCUCCUAUUUUAGCAAAAUAAAAAAAAUUCCAC
Non-coding RNA from Pelobates cultripes (western spadefoot toad), 1464 nucleotides. NCBI's taxonomy places the organism in Eukaryota, Metazoa, Chordata, Amphibia, Anura, Pelobatidae. The record is from the annotation of a GenBank genome assembly.